CCUACGGGUGGCAGCAGUGGGGAAUCUUGCACAAUGGGGGAAACCCUGAUGCAGCGACGCCGCGUGAGUGAAGAAGUAUCUCGGUACGUAAAGCUCUAUCAGCAGGGAAGAAAAUGACGGUACCUGACUAAGAAGCCCCGGCUAACUACGUGCCAGCAGCCGCGGUAAUACGUAGGGGGCAAGCGUUAUCCGGAUUUACUGGGUGUAAAGUGAGCGUAGACGGCAGCACAGAUCUGGAGUGAAAUCCCGGGGCUUAACCCCGGAACUGCAUUGGAAACUGUGCGGCUGGAGUGCAGGAGGGGACAGCGGAAUUCCUAGUGUAGCGGUGAAAUGCGUAGAUAUUAGGAGGAACACCGGUGGCGAAGGCGGCUUACUGGACUGUAACUGACGUUGAGGCUCGAAAGCGUGGGGAGCAAACAGGAUUAGAUACCCGAGUAGUC
Molecule: ribosomal RNA, 440 nt
Filed under: uncultured bacterium
Lineage: Bacteria
Description: partial 16S ribosomal RNA
Rfam family: Bacterial small subunit ribosomal RNA
Source: RNAcentral